AAGCACUGUCUGUACUGAGACUCAUCUACAGUUUGAAAGUGAACCCUGGUCGGUAUUCAUGGGGGUCAAAACUAUUUUGUUUUUCUUUGUACUUCUGCAUGCAUAUACUGCCACCUUUAACGAGAGCUCUGUAAGCAGCUUUGAACAGACUGAUGAGCCAACUGAUGACGGCGAGUCUUCAACGCAGAUGUCUGAUGAUCUCGGUUCAGGGUCACCAGGUAGAUUUUGCUGUCAUGUUGCUCCUAACCCAAAAGACUGAUACAUUUGUGGAACACAAAAUAAAAAAUACUGUAACCUGAGAGUUAACCUGAGUUUCUGUACCUCCAAUUAAAAUUCCACACCUAACCUACAACAUACAGAAAAUUAAUUCAUAUGGAUUAGUUUUACAAUGCUUUUAUGAGCUUUUUGGAUCUUUUCCGAGUUUUGGUUGUGUGAACUUCUAAUAGAGGGACAGAAAACUCUCAGGUAUCAUUAAAAGAUGAAGAUGAAUAAACAUAUGUUGUUGUUGUUGUUUUACUACGUGAGGGUGAGUAAAUACAGACAGAAUUUUCAUUUUACCCUUUAACACUGAAACUGUGAUAAAGAAAUCUUCUACAUGGUUGUCCACUAGAGGGCACUCCAUCCCAGCUUUAUCCAGGACUUCCUUAAUUCUCCACAAUCCUCUGGGGCAUGUUCAAGUUCAAAACGGUGCGCAACGUUUUGCUACGGUUUCCGGAUUGAACGUCAUGUGACCGGUGUGCAACGGGGUUUGAGAUGCGUUUUCUCUUGUUUGGUGGUUGUGUCAGAACUGCAGUCCAAUCAGCAGCAACAUGUAUAUAAAGCACGCGGUAUUAAAGUGAACUCGCACAAUGGCUUCAAGGAAAAUAAUGUACAAAUGUGUUCGUUGCAGCUCGUUAUACACAACAACUGAGGAUAUUAGAAGAGAUGUUUGUCGUAAGUUUUAUUGUAAAAAUAUAGGAUAUCAACAUAAUGAUGUAUUUGUUUAUAUUUUUAGCUUCAUUGCAAGUGUAUGACAUUUGGUAUAGAAAUAAACAAUGGUAAUUAAGUGUUUUUAAUUUUGAAAGAAAAUACAGGGUAUUAAAAUCGUAUGAACUACAAAUAAAGUCAGUAUGUGAGGCUAAAUAGAUGGCUCCGAAAAUUCUUCACAAAGAACACAAAUAAUGGCCUUUUUUUUUUUUUUUCAAAGAAUGGCCUUCUCAGCUGCAAUAGUUGCAACACUUGCGUCAUCAGAACAGUGUGUUCAACUCAUCACCGUUUCUGUUUAAAAAACGUUGUGCAACGUUUUGUCGGGUGCUGAACACAGCCCUGAUGUCUCAUGAGCACUCAUUGUUUGCACCUGUGUCUCAUUAGCAUGGUUAGCUCACCCUCUAUAAACCCAGUUCUCACUGCCAUUGUUUGCUAAGCAAUAAUUAAAGCAUAUCCUACUAAGGAGUGGCAACAUAAAUGGGAUACAGGAAAUACAGGACGUCAACUUUAUGAAAUACAACAAGAAGUAGGAGUAGUGAGAAUAACUAAACGAAGCACCAAAGAGGAAGAUAUUUUAAA
RNAcentral lists this long non-coding RNA (1545 nucleotides) under Carassius auratus (goldfish). RNAcentral's name for it is "lncRNA (ENSCARG00000015374.1)". Lineage: Eukaryota; Metazoa; Chordata; Actinopteri; Cypriniformes; Cyprinidae. The record is from RNAcentral.